This 172-nucleotide microRNA precursor is filed under the name Elaeis guineensis (African oil palm). RNAcentral's name for it is "miR172b stem-loop (egu-MIR172b)". Its record names the gene egu-MIR172b. The record is from miRBase by way of RNAcentral. Lineage: Eukaryota; Viridiplantae; Streptophyta; Magnoliopsida; Arecales; Arecaceae.
GUGCAGCAUCAUCAAGAUUCACAUCCUUUUCAGCUUCUGAUACCAAUAAACCCUUACAUGAUAACAAAGAUGUGCCUUCAGUGCUAGGCUUCUCAUUUUGGUUAUUACUAUUAUCGUAAUUGUCCCUGCAACCCUUGCUAUCCAACAGAUGAGAAUCUUGAUGAUGCUGCAU